Molecule: ribosomal RNA, 857 nt
Filed under: Flavobacteriales endosymbiont of Ischnaspis longirostris D230
Lineage: Bacteria; Pseudomonadati; Bacteroidota; Flavobacteriia; Flavobacteriales
Description: bacterial LSU rRNA
Rfam family: Bacterial large subunit ribosomal RNA
Source: RNAcentral
UGUGAUCGAGCAUGGAUAAUAAUCGGGCAUAAGUAUAUCGCCUAAGCUUUGGAAUUUAAUAUUGGUAGGGGAGCAUUGUAAAUAACGUAGAAGCUAUUUUGUGAAGAAUAGUGGAGUUUUUACAAAAGAAAAUGUAGGCAUAAGUAACGAUAAUGCAGAUGAGAGAUCUGCACACCGGAAGAUCAAGGUUUCCUCAGCUAUGUUAAUCAACUGAGGGUUAGUCAGGGCCUAAGAUUAAGUCGAAAGGCGAUGUCGAUGGAUAAGCGGUAAAAAUUCCACUACUUGCUUUUAUUGUGAUGGGGUGACGAAGAUGUUGAACCGUCGCGUGCAAAUGGACUUUCACGAAGAAGAAAACGGGAAUAAUAUUUUUGGUUAUAGCGUAUAUGUGCUGAGAUGCGAGAGUCCCGGUAAGUACGGCUCAAGGCUUCCAAGAAAACCCUCUAAACCUAAGAUAAAAGCAACCUGUACCAAAACCGACACAGCUGAUCAAGGAGAGGAAUCCUAAGGUGAUUGAGGGAAUCACGGCUAAGUAACUAGGCAAAAUAGACCUGUAACUUAGGGAGAAAGGUUGCCUUCUAAUUUUAGUUAGAUGUUAGGAGGGCCGCAGUGAAGAGAUCCAGACGACUGUUUAACAAAAACAUAGGGCUCUGCUAAAUCGAAAGAUGACGUAUAUGGCCUGAUACCUGCCCGGUGUUGGAAGGUUAAGGAAGAAGGUAACUAUUGUGAAGCUUUUUACUGAAGCCCCAGUAAACGGCGGCUGUAACUAUAACGGUCCUAAGGUAGCGAAAUUCCUUGUCAGGUAAGUUCUGACCUGCACGAAUGGUAUAACGGAUCUGGAUACUGUCUCAGCCGUGAGC